ACCCGCUGAACUUAAGCGGCAACAGCUCAAAUUUGAAAUCUGGCGUCUUCGGCGUCCGAGUUGUAAUUUGCAGAGGGCGCUUUGGCAUUGGCAGCGGUCCAAGUUCCUUGGAACAGGACGUCACAGAGGGUGAGAAUCCCGUACGUGGUCGCUAGCCUUUACCGUGUAAAGCCCCUUCGACGAGUCGAGUUGUUUGGGAAUGCAGCUCUAAAUGGGAGGUAAAUUUCUUCUAAAGCUAAAUACUGGCCAGAGACCGAUAGCGCACAAGUAGAGUGAUCGAAAGAUGAAAAGCACUUUGGAAAGAGAGUUAAAAAGCACGUGAAAUUGUUGAAAGGGAAGCGCUUGCAGCCAGACUUGCCUGUAGUUGCUCAUCCGGGUUUCUACCCGGUGCACUCUUCUACGGGCAGGCCAGCAUCAGUUUGGGCGGUUGGAUAAAGGUCUCUGUCAUGUACCUCUCUUCGGGGAGAACUUAUAGGGGAGACGACAUGCAACCAGCCUGGACUGAGGUCCGCGCAUCUGCUAGGAUGCUGGCGUAAUGGCUGUAAGCGGCCCGUCUUGAAACACGGACCAAGGAGUCUAACAUCUAUGCGAGUGUUUGGGUGUCAAGCCCGAGCGCGUAAUGAAAGUGAACGGAGGUGGGAACCUUUCGGGGUGCACCAUCGACCGAUCCUGAUGUCUUCGGAUGGAUUUGAGUAAGAGCAUAGCUGUUGGGACCCGAAAGAUGGUGAACUAUGCUUGAAUAGGGUGAAGUUUCCCUCAGGAU
Molecule: ribosomal RNA, 763 nt
Filed under: Didymella americana
Lineage: Eukaryota; Fungi; Ascomycota; Dothideomycetes; Pleosporales; Didymellaceae
Description: partial large subunit ribosomal RNA
Rfam family: Eukaryotic large subunit ribosomal RNA
Source: RNAcentral